RNAcentral lists this ribosomal RNA (633 nucleotides) under Triticum aestivum (bread wheat). RNAcentral's name for it is "partial small subunit ribosomal RNA". Lineage: Eukaryota; Viridiplantae; Streptophyta; Magnoliopsida; Poales; Poaceae. The record is from RNAcentral.
AUGAAGAUCACGGCGCUCGUCGUGCUGAAGCCGUCGGCGGGAGGCGCCGGGGGCUCCUCCUCCAGCGGCGGGCAGGGCUCGGAGGCGCUCGUGCUGGCCAACGCCACGGACGUCAGCCACUUCGGCUUCUUCCAGCGCGGCGCCGCCCGCGAGUUCAUCGUCUUCGUCGCCCGCACCGUCGCCCAGCGCACCCAGCCCGGCCAGCGCCAGUCCGUCCAGCACGAAGAAUACAAGGUUCACUCACACAACAGAAAUGGCCUCUGCGUGGUGGCAUUCAUGGAUGAUCACUAUCCUGUACGAAGUGCAUUUUCUCUUCUGAAUAAGGUACUUGACGAAUACCAGAAGGCUUUUGGGGAUGCUUGGAAAGCUGCCACAGCAGAUUCCACUCAAGAGUGGCCUUUCCUGAUGGAAGCUUUGACAAAAUUUCAGGAUCCUGCAGAGGCUGACAAGUUAACAAAAAUCCAGAGGGACUUGGAUGAAACAAAAAUUAUCCUACAUAAAACUAUAGAGAAUGUCCUUCAAAGAGGAGAGAGGUUGGAUAGCUUGGUUGAAAAAAGCUCAGACCUGAGUGCUGCUUCACAGAUGUUCUAUAAGCAGGCGAAGAAAACAAACAGUUGUUGUACUAUACUUUGA